AUGAAAUAUAUUAUUUCAGGUCCUAAAUUUUUUUAGCUAGCUAAAUUCCACUUCUAUUUCUCAAACUAUGAACCGAUGAUAGUUUAAUUCUCAAAUUUUAAUUUAAUAUAAUAAUUUUUUGCAUAAAAUAUUUUAAAAUUUUGCAAAUAAGUCUUACAGCCUAAUUUAAUUGACUAAAUAUUAAUGUAUCGUUAAUGUGAAAAUAAUGUGU
RNAcentral lists this long non-coding RNA (211 nucleotides) under Ananas comosus (pineapple). Its description in RNAcentral is "long non-coding RNA (ACOM_LNC037870)". Lineage: Eukaryota; Viridiplantae; Streptophyta; Magnoliopsida; Poales; Bromeliaceae. The record is from RNAcentral.